RNAcentral lists this ribosomal RNA (372 nucleotides) under uncultured organism. Its description in RNAcentral is "bacterial SSU rRNA". It matches the Rfam family "Bacterial small subunit ribosomal RNA", at positions 526 to 896 of the family's 1533-position model. The record is from RNAcentral.
CAGAGGGUGCAAACGUUGUUCGGAAUUACUGGGCGUAAAGCGCGUGUAGGCGGCAGCGUGUGUCGGGCGUGAAAUCCCAUGGCUCAACCAUGGAAGUGCACCCGAAACUGCGCAGCUAGAGUCCUGGAGAGGAAGGUGGAAUACUUGGUGUAGAGGUGAAAUUCGUAGAUAUCAAGUGGAACACCGGUGGCGAAGGCGGCCUUCUGGACAGUGACUGACGCUGAGACGCGAAAGCGUGGGGAGCAAACAGGAUUAGAUACCCUGGUAGUCCACGCCGUAAACGAUGAGUGCUAGGUGUCACGGGCUUUGACCCUCGUGGUGCCGAAGCUAACGCGUUAAGCACUCCGCCUGGGGAGUACGGCCGCAAGGCUA